UGGGGAAUAUUGCACAAUGGGGGAAACCCUGAUGCAGCGACGCCGCGUGAACGAAGAAGGUAUUCGUAUCGUAAAGUUCUGUCCUAUGGGAAGAUAAUGACAGUACCAUAGAAGAAAGCUCCGGCUAAAUACGUGCCAGCAGCCGCGGUAAUACGUAUGGAGCGAGCGUUGUCCGGAAUUAUUGGGCGUAAAGGGUACGCAGGCGGUUUAAUAAGUCGAAUGUUAAAGAUCGGGGCUCAACCCCGUAAAGCAUUGGAAACUGAUAAACUUGAGUAGUGGAGAGGAAAGUGGAAAUCCUAGUGUAGAGGUGAAAUACGUAGAUAGUAGGAGGAAUACCAGUAGCGAAGGCGACUUUCUGGACACACACUGACGCUGAGGUACGAAAGCGUGGGGAGCAAACAGG
Molecule: ribosomal RNA, 403 nt
Filed under: bacterium
Lineage: Bacteria
Description: partial 16S ribosomal RNA
Rfam family: Bacterial small subunit ribosomal RNA
Source: RNAcentral